AUUGAACGCUGGCGGCAUGCUUUACACAUGCAAGUCGAUCGGUAACAGGUUAAGCUGACGAGUGGCGAACGGGUGAGUAAUGCAUCGGAACGUGCCCGGUCGUGGGGGAUAACGCAGCGAAAGCUGCGCUAAUACCGCAUACGAUCUGAGGAUGAAAGCGGGGGACCGUAAGGCCUCGCGCGAUCGGAGCGGCCGAUGUCAGAUUAGGUAGUUGGUGGGGUAAAGGCUCACCAAGCCAACGAUCUGUAGCUGGUCUGAGAGGACGACCAGCCACACUGGGACUGAGACACGGCCCAGACUCCUACGGGAGGCAGCAGUGGGGAAUUUUGGACAAUGGGCGAAAGCCUGAUCCAGCAAUGCCGCGUGCAGGAAGAAGGCCUUCGGGUUGUAAACUGCUUUUGUACGGAGCGAAAAGGUCUCCUCUAAUACAGGGGGCUCAUGACGGUACCGUAAGAAUAAGCACCGGCUAACUACGUGCCAGCAGCCGCGGUAA
Molecule: ribosomal RNA, 493 nt
Filed under: uncultured bacterium
Lineage: Bacteria
Description: partial 16S ribosomal RNA
Rfam family: Bacterial small subunit ribosomal RNA
Source: RNAcentral